This 286-nucleotide long non-coding RNA is filed under the name Sus scrofa (pig). Its description in RNAcentral is "lncRNA (ENSSSCG00045007977.1)". The record is from RNAcentral. Lineage: Eukaryota; Metazoa; Chordata; Mammalia; Artiodactyla; Suidae.
GCAAAGAGCGGACAGAUUUCAAGCUUGGACUCUGAAGAAGGCAAUAGCUAUCAUGAUGAUGGACAAGCAUCAUUGGAAACCCCAGAGGUUCAAGGUAUAGGGAAGGUCGCAAGGCACCAAAGGGAAGAGGAUGGAAGAAAAAGAAAGAUGAUAAGAAAACUGCAGCACUGAGACAUCCCCAUCACAGCACGUGGCUGCUCCUAGAACCUUCCAGAACCUGAGCCCUCUUUCAUCUGCAGCCUCCUGCGUAUUGGCAGGCACUGGUGUUUGUUCCUGGCACUGCUGC